UACGUAGGGCGCAAGCGUUGUCCAGAAUUAUUGGGCGUAAAGAGCUCGUAGGCGGCUUGUCACGUCGGGUGUGAAAGACCGGGGCUUAACCCCGGUUCUGCAUUCGAUACGGGCUGGCUAGAGUGUGGUAGGGGAGAUCGGAAUUCCUGGUGUAGCGGUGAAAUGCGCAGAUAUCAGGAGGAACACCGGUGGCGAAGGCGGAUCUCUGGGCCAUUACUGACGCUGAGGAGCGAAAGCGUGGGGAGCGAACAGG
This 253-nucleotide ribosomal RNA is filed under the name uncultured bacterium. Its description in RNAcentral is "partial 16S ribosomal RNA". It matches the Rfam family "Bacterial small subunit ribosomal RNA", at positions 524 to 776 of the family's 1533-position model. The record is from RNAcentral.